Molecule: ribosomal RNA, 111 nt
Filed under: Microbacterium nanhaiense
Lineage: Bacteria; Bacillati; Actinomycetota; Actinomycetes; Micrococcales; Microbacteriaceae
Also listed under: 1 other name
Source: RNAcentral
CGGUGGUUUUAGCGAGAGGGAAACGCCCGGUCACAUUCCGAACCCGGAAGCUAAGCCUCUCAGCGCCGAUGGUACUGCAAGGGGGACCUUGUGGGAGAGUAGGACACCGCC